GGCCUUUUCCGGCAUCCUGUCGGAGGGGGAUUUGAUCAUGGAGGGCUUCUACAUCAACACCAUUACCCUUCCGAUGAAGCAUGAGUUGUUUACCUUAGAACUACGGGUCCACUUGAGUGAGACCGAGGAGAGUGGAAUUUCGUGUGUAGGGGUGAAAUCCGUAGAUCUACGAAGGAAUGCCAAAAGCGAAGGCAGCUCUCUAGGUACCUACUGAUGCUGGGGUGCAAAAGCAUGGGGAGCGAACAGGAUUAGAUACCCUGGUAGUACAUGCCAUAAACGAUGAGUGUUCUCCCUUGGUCUGCGCGGAUCAGGGGCCCAGCUAACACGUGAAACACUCCGCCUGGGGAGUACGGUCGCAAGACCGGAACUCAAAGGAAUUGACGGGGGCCUGCACAAGCGGUGGAGCAUGUGGUUUAAUUUGAUACAACGCGCAAAACCAUACCGACCCUUGACAUAUGAACAACAAAACAUGUCCUUAACAGGAUGGUACUGACUUUCAUACAGGUGCUGCAUGGCUGUCGUCAGCUCAUGUAGUGAGAUGUUUGGUCAAGUCCUAUAACGAGUGAAACCCUCGUUUUGUGUUGCUGAGACAUGCGCCUAAGGAGAAAUUGCCACCGAGUGAUGUGCCAACGCUACUACUUGAUUGUGUGCCAGCACGUAGCUGUGCUUUCAGCAAGAAUUUCAUCAUUGGGAGCCGGUGCCUUUCGAAGCACUUUCACGUGUGAACCAAAGUCGUCUUGCCGAAGACCCACGGAGACCUACCUAUAGUGACAUCAAAGUACCAAUGAGCAUGGAGGUUUGGUUGAAAUUGGUUAUGAUGAUGUCGAGUUGGCGGCGGAGGAAGACUCGGCAUGAAGGCCAGAAAAUGGUGUGGAACAUAGUGGUAAUAGUACGCGCCCCGCUCUAAAACAAAGAAAAAGGUGCUUGCUGCACUCACGAGGGACUGCCAGUGAGAUACUGGAGGAAGGUGGGGAUGACGUCAAGUCCGCAUGGCCCUUCUGGGUUGGGCCACACACAUGCUACAAAUGCAAUGACAAUGGGAAGCAAGGCUGUAAGGCGGAGCAAAUCUGGAAAGAUUGCCUCAGUUUGGAUUGUUCUCUGCAACUCGGGAACAUGAACUUGAAAUCGCUAGUAACCGCGGAUCAGCAUGCCGCGGUGAAUAUGUACCCGGGCCCUGUACACACCGCCCAUCACACCCUAGGAAUUGGUUUCGCCCGAAGCAUCGGACCAAUGAUCACCCAUGACUUCUGUGUACCACUAGUGCCACAAAGGCCUUUGGUGAUCUUAUUGGCGCAUACCAUGGUGCGGUCUUUGACUGGGGUGAAGUCAUAACAAGGUAGCCGUAGGGGAACCUAUGGCUGGAUUGAAUCCUUC
Molecule: non-coding RNA, 1374 nt
Filed under: Triticum aestivum (bread wheat)
Lineage: Eukaryota; Viridiplantae; Streptophyta; Magnoliopsida; Poales; Poaceae
Description: Bacterial small subunit ribosomal RNA
Rfam family: Bacterial small subunit ribosomal RNA
Source: Rfam by way of RNAcentral